AAAAGUUCAGUUUAGCGUUUAAAACCCUAAUGCUGACUAAAGGAAGAAGUUCAGUUUAGGGUUUAAAACCCUAACGCUGAUUGCAUGGAAAAGCUCAGUUUGGGGUUUAAAACCCUAAUGCUGGCUAAAUGGAAAAAAGUUCAGUUUAGGGUUUAAAACCCUAAUGUUGAUUAAAGGAAAAAGUUCAGUUUAGGUUUUAAAACCCUAAUGCUGACUGAAUGGAAAAAAGUUCAGUUUAGGGUUUAAAACCCUAAUGCUGACUAUAGGAAAAAUUCAGUUUAGGGUUUAAAACCCUAAUGAUGAUGGCAUGGAAAAGCUUAGUUUAGGGUUUAAAACCCUAAUGCUGGCUGAAUGGAAAAAAGUUCAGUUCAGGGUAUAAAACCUUAAUGCUGAUUGCAUGGAAAAAUUCAGUUUAGGGUUUAAAACCCUAAUGCUGACUAAAUGGAAAAAAGUUCAGUUUAGGGUUUAAAACACUAAUGCUGACUAAAGGAAGAAGUUCAGUUUAGGGUUUAAAACCCUAACGCUGAUUGCAUGAAAAAGCUCAGUUUAGGGUUUAAAACCCUAAUGAUGGCUAAAUGGAAAAAAGUUCAGUUUAGGGUUUAAAACCAUAAUGCUGACUAAAGGAAGAAUUUCAGUUUAGGGUUUAAAACACUAACGCUGAUUGCAUGGAAAAGCUCAGUUUAGGGUUUAAAACCCUAAUGCUGGCUGAAUGGAAAAAAGUUCAGUUAGGGUUUAUAACCCUAAUGAUGAUUAAAGGAAAAAGUUCAGUUUAGGGUUUAAAACCCUAAUGUUGACUAAAGGAAAAGUUCAGCUUAGGGUUUAAAACCCUAAUGCUGACUGAAAGGAAAGAGUUCAGUUUAGGGUUUAAAACCCUAAUGCUGAUUGCAUGGAAAAGCUCAGUUUAGGGUUUAAAACCCUAAUGCUGGCUGAAUGGAAAAAAGUUCAGUUUAGGGUUUAAAACCCUAAUGCUGAUUGCAGGAAAAAGUUCAGUUUAGGGUUUAAAACCCUAAUGCUGACUAAAGGAAAAGUUCAGUUUAGGGUUUAAAACCCUAAUGCUAACUGAAAGGAAAGAGUUCAGUUUAGGGUUUAAAACCCUAAUGCUGAUUGCAUGGAAAAGCUCAGUUUAGGGUUUAAAACCCUAAUGCUGGCUGAAUGGAAAAAAGUUCAGUUUAGGGUUUAAAACCCUAAUGCUGAUUGCAUGGAAAAGCUCAGUUUAGGGUUUAAAACCCUAAUGAUGAUUGCAUGGAAAAGCUCAGUUUAGGGUUUAAAACCCUAAUGCUGGCUGAAUGGAAAAAAGUUCAGUUUAGGGUUUAAAACCCUAAUGCUGACUGAAUGGAAAAAAGUUCAGUUUAGGGUUUAAAACCCUAAUGCUGACUGAAUGGAAAAGCUCAGUUUAGGGUUUAAAACCCUAAUGCUGACUGAAUGGAAAAAAGUUCAGUUUAGGGUUUAAAACCCUAAUGCUGAUUGAAUGGAAAAAGUUCAGUUUAGGGUUUAAAACCCUAAUGCUGAUUGAAUGGAAAAAAGUUCAGUUUAGGGUUUAAAACCCUAAUGCUGACUAAAGGAAAAAUUCAGUUUAGGGUUUAAAACCCUAAUGAUGAUUGCAUGGAAAAGCUCAGUUUAGGGUUUAAAACCCUAAUGCUGGCUGAAUGGAAAAAAGUUCAGUUUAGGGUUUAAAACCCUAAUGCUGAUUGCAUGGAAAAAGUUCAGUUUAGGGUUUAAAACCCUAAUGCUGACUAAAGGAGAAGUUCAGUUUAGGGUUUAAAACCCUAAUGCUGACUGAAUGGAAAAAAGUUCAGUUUAGGGUUUUAAAACCCUAAUGCUGACUAAAGGAAAAGUUCAGUUUAGGGUUUAAAACCCUAAUGCUGACUGAAUGGAAAAAAGUUCAGUUUAGGGUUUAAAACCCUAAUGCUGAUUGCAUGGAAAAGCUCAGUUUAGGGUUUAAAACCCUAAUGCUGAUUGCAUGGAAAAGCUCAGUUUAGGGUUUAAAACCCUAAUGCUGAUUGCAUGGAAAAGCUCAGUUUAGGGUUUAAAACCAUAAUGUUGGCUGAAUGGAAAAAAGUUCAGAUUAGGGUUUAAAACCCUAAUGCUAAUU
This 2092-nucleotide long non-coding RNA is filed under the name Nicotiana tabacum (common tobacco). Its description in RNAcentral is "long non-coding RNA (NTAB_LNC006628)". The record is from RNAcentral. Lineage: Eukaryota; Viridiplantae; Streptophyta; Magnoliopsida; Solanales; Solanaceae.